UACGGAGGGUGCGAGCGUUGUCCGGAAUCACUGGGCGUAAAGAGCUCGUAGGCGGUCUGUCGCGUCUGCUGUGAAAACUCAGGGCUUAACCCUGAGCUUGCAGUGGGUACGGGCAGACUAGAGUGCGGUAGGGGAGACUGGAAUUCCUGGUGUAGCGGUGAAAUGCGCAGAUAUCAGGAGGAACACCGGUGGCGAAGGCGGGUCUCUGGGCCGUAACUGACGCUGAGGAGCGAAAGCAUGGGGAGCGAACAGG
This 253-nucleotide ribosomal RNA is filed under the name uncultured bacterium. RNAcentral describes it as "partial 16S ribosomal RNA". It matches the Rfam family "Bacterial small subunit ribosomal RNA", at positions 524 to 776 of the family's 1533-position model. The record is from RNAcentral.